Molecule: ribosomal RNA, 492 nt
Filed under: uncultured bacterium
Lineage: Bacteria
Description: partial 16S ribosomal RNA
Rfam family: Bacterial small subunit ribosomal RNA
Source: RNAcentral
AUUGAACGCUGGCGGCAUGCUUUACACAUGCAAGUCGAACGGUAACAGGCCUUCGGGUGCUGACGAGUGGCGAACGGGUGAGUAAUGCAUCGGAACGUGCCCAGAGGUGGGGGAUAACGCAGCGAAAGCUGUGCUAAUACCGCAUGUGAUCUGAGGAUGAAAGCGGGGGACCAGGCAGCAAUGUUUGGCCUCGCGCCUUUGGAGCGGCCGAUGUCAGAUUAGGUAGUUGGUGGGGUAAAGGCCUACCAAGCCGACGAUCUGUAGCUGGUCUGAGAGGACGACCAGCCACACUGGGACUGAGACACGGCCCAGACUCCUACGGGAGGCAGCAGUGGGGAAUUUUGGACAAUGGGCGCAAGCCUGAUCCAGCAAUGCCGCGUGCGGGAAGAAGGCGUUCGGGUUGUAAACCGCUUUUGUACGGAACGAAAAGGCUCUGGCUAAUACCUGGGGCUGAUGACGGUACCGUAAGAAUAAGCACCGGCUAACUACGUG